RNAcentral lists this ribosomal RNA (912 nucleotides) under Triticum aestivum (bread wheat). Its description in RNAcentral is "partial small subunit ribosomal RNA". The record is from RNAcentral. Lineage: Eukaryota; Viridiplantae; Streptophyta; Magnoliopsida; Poales; Poaceae.
AUGGCGAGGAAGGAGGCAUGGAGGAGGAGCGGCUUGGUGAGGCAGUAUACCAGGUCCAGCGUGCCGAGGAUGAGGUGGACGGCCGAGCUCGAGAGCAGCUUCGUGGGAGCCGUCGAGCGCCUCGGCGGCCGGGACAGCGCCAAGGUGACUCCGAAGCGCAUUCUCAAGCUGAUGGAUGUCUCAGGGCUCACCAUAUCCCACGUCAAGAGCCACCUUCAGAUGUACAGAUGCACACCGCAUGACAAUGGAAAGAAAGAGACGCGGCCACAACUCGAUCUCAAGAAUCGCCCAUUUGCCACGGACGAGCGAGGCUCCGAAGGACUCACAUUCCCACCCAUGAAAAGGGCCAAGGCAGGGACAGAGGUUGCAGCCUCAUGCAAGAGCAUGCAAGGGAACAGUGGUAUGAGCGUGAUGAUUCCUGGCAACCGUUGCUACAUUGAUGAUUACGUGCAAGUGCAAGCAAUGUCCAUGGACAGGAUGAGGAGGAGCGUGAACCAGGGCCUCCGACUCCGACGGCGCAGCGCUGCUGCUGCAAGCCUCCAGGAAUUAGGACCCUGGGUGCAAGGCCAAGAGGCCUCUAAGGAUAGCAAGCCGGAAGCAGUCCGUCGUCUGAACCAUACGACGAGACAGUUACCUUCCAUGGAGAGCUACGAGAGUGGGUGCUUCCUGUUCAGCAGUGCAACGAGCGGAGAAGAUGAACCGGCUUACUUGGGGGGCAACGGAUGCUCGCCGUCGCCCUGCUUCGCCGUGGAGCAGAGAGCCGUGAAAGAUGUCUCCCCCUGGCCCAGCGAGAGCAGCUGCGUGCUCUCGCCGUCGUCCAGGAGCUUCAGCGACUGCUCGGGGCCUCCGGGCUGCAGCUUUGCUGGGCAGGGGAUUAGCCUGGAACUCUCCCUGUCGAUGCCUGGAUUGUAG